RNAcentral lists this ribosomal RNA (1489 nucleotides) under uncultured bacterium. RNAcentral's name for it is "bacterial SSU rRNA". It matches the Rfam family "Bacterial small subunit ribosomal RNA". The record is from RNAcentral.
AGAGUUUGAUCCUGGCUCAGGAUGAACGCUAGCUACAGGCUUAACACAUGCAAGUCGAGGGGCAGCAUGGUCUUAGCUUGCUAAGGCCGAUGGCGACCGGCGCACGGGUGAGUAACACGUAUCCAACCUGCCGUCUACUCUUGGACAGCCUUCUGAAAGGAAGAUUAAUACAAGAUGGCAUCAUGAGUCCGCAUGUUCACAUGAUUAAAGGUAUUCCGGUAGACGAUGGGGAUGCGUUCCAUUAGAUAGUAGGCGGGGUAACGGCCCACCUAGUCUUCGAUGGAUAGGGGUUCUGAGAGGAAGGUCCCCCACAUUGGAACCGAGACACGGUCCAAACUCCUACGGGAGGCAGCAGUGAGGAAUAUUGGUCAAUGGGCGAGAGCCUGAACCAGCCAAGUAGCGUGAAGGAUGACUGCCCUAUGGGUUGUAAACUUCUUUUAUAAAGGAAUAAAGUCGGGUAUGGAUACCCGUUUGCAUGUACUUUAUGAAUAAGGAUCGGCUAACUCCGUGCCAGCAGCCGCGGUAAUACGGAGGAUCCGAGCGUUAUCCGGAUUUAUUGGGUUUAAAGGGAGCGUAGAUGGAUGUUUAAGUCAGUUGUGAAAGUUUGCGGCUCAACCGUAAAAUUGCAGUUGAUACUGGAUAUCUUGAGUGCAGUUGAGGCAGGCGGAAUUCGUGGUGUAGCGGUGAAAUGCUUAGAUAUCACGAAGAACUCCAAUUGCGAAGGCAGCCUGCUAAGCUGCAACUGACAUUGAGGCUCGAAAGUGUGGGUAUCAAACAGGAUUAGAUACCCUGGUAGUCCACACGGUAAACGAUGAAUACUCGCUGUUUGCGAUAUACUGCAAGCGGCCAAGCGAAAGCGUUAAGUAUUCCACCUGGGGAGUACGCCGGCAACGGUGAAACUCAAAGGAAUUGACGGGGGCCCGCACAAGCGGAGGAACAUGUGGUUUAAUUCGAUGAUACGCGAGGAACCUUACCCGGGCUUAAAUUGCAGAUGAAUUACGGUGAAAGCCGUAAGCCGCAAGGCAUCUGUGAAGGUGCUGCAUGGUUGUCGUCAGCUCGUGCCGUGAGGUGUCGGCUUAAGUGCCAUAGCGAGCGCAACCCUUGUUGUCAGUUACUAACAGGUUCUGCUGAGGACUCUGACAAGACUGCCAUCGUAAGAUGUGAGGAAGGUGGGGAUGACGUCAAAUCAGCACGGCCCUUACGUCCGGGGCUACACACGUGUUACAAUGGGGGGUACAGAGGGCCGCUACCACGCGAGUGGAUGCCAAUCCCAAAAACCUCUCUCAGUUCGGACUGGAGUCUGCAACCCGACUCCACGAAGCUGGAUUCGCUAGUAAUCGCGCAUCAGCCACGGCGCGGUGAAUACGUUCCCGGGCCUUGUACACACCGCCCGUCAAGCCAUGGGAGCCGGGGGUACCUGAAGUGCGUAACCGCGAGGAGCGCCCUAGGGUAAAACUGGUGACUGGGGCUAAGUCGUAACAAGGUAGCC